GGGCACAUGGUGUAGUUGGUUAUCACGCCCGCUUAGCACUUCAGUGUAUGCGGGCGGUCCCCGGUUCAAUUCCGGGUGUGUCCA
Molecule: non-coding RNA, 84 nt
Organism: Blastosporella zonata
Lineage: Eukaryota; Fungi; Basidiomycota; Agaricomycetes; Agaricales; Lyophyllaceae
Source: the annotation of a GenBank genome assembly